CACCGCGGUUAUACGAGAGGCCCAAACUGAUUAAACUCGGCGUAAAGAGUGGUUAUGGGAAUAAGACACUAAAGCUGAAGGCCCCCUAAGCCGUUAUACGCACUUGGUGACCCGAAUCUCUAACACGAAAGUAGCUUUAUUUUACCAACCAGAACCCACGACAGCUAGGCCA
RNAcentral lists this ribosomal RNA (172 nucleotides) under Tenualosa reevesii (Reeve's shad). RNAcentral's name for it is "partial 12S rRNA". The record is from RNAcentral. Lineage: Eukaryota; Metazoa; Chordata; Actinopteri; Clupeiformes; Clupeidae.